GACAGCAGUAGCCGCGGUAACACAGAGGGUGCGAGCGUUAAUCGGAUUUACUGGGCGUAAAGCGUGCGUAGGCGGCUUCUUAAGUCGGAUGUGAAAUCCCUGAGCUUAACUUAGGAAUUGCAUUCGAUACUGGGAAGCUAGAGUAUGGGAGAGGAUGGUAGAAUUCCAGGUGUAGCGGUGAAAUGCGUAGAGAUCUGGAGGAAUACCGAUGGCGAAGGCAGCCAUCUGGCCUAAUACUGACGCUGAGGUACGAAAGCAUGGGGAGCAAACAGGAUUAGAGACCCCAGUAGUCCCUGUCUCUUAUAC
This 306-nucleotide ribosomal RNA is filed under the name uncultured bacterium. Its description in RNAcentral is "partial 16S ribosomal RNA". It matches the Rfam family "Bacterial small subunit ribosomal RNA", at positions 507 to 807 of the family's 1533-position model. The record is from RNAcentral.